Pan troglodytes (chimpanzee) is the source of this 821-nucleotide non-coding RNA. Lineage: Eukaryota; Metazoa; Chordata; Mammalia; Primates; Hominidae. The record is from the annotation of a RefSeq genome assembly.
CUACACCUUCGGUUCGGGGACCAGGUUAACGGUUGUAGCGGAACCCAGCUCUCUGUCUUGGAGGACCUGAACAAGGUGUUCCCACCCGAGGUCGCUGUGUUUGAGCCAUCAGAAGCAGAGAUCUCCCACACCCAAAAAGCCACACUGGUGUGCCUGGCCACAGGCUUCUACCCCGACCACGUGGAGCUGAGCUGGUGGGUGAACGGGAAGGAGGUGCACAGUGGGGUCAGCACGGACCCGCAGCCCCUCAAGGAGCAGCCCGCCCUCAAUGACUCCAGAUACUGCCUGAGCAGCCGCCUGAGGGUCUCGGCCACCUUCUGGCAGAACCCCCGCAACCACUUCCGCUGUCAAGUCCAGUUCUACGGGCUCUCGGAGAAUGACGAGUGGACCCAGGAUAGGGCCAAACCCGUCACCCAGAUCGUCAGCGCCGAGGCCUGGGGUAGAGCAGACUGUGGCUUUACCUCGGUGUCCUACCAGCAAGGGGUCCUGUCUGCCACCAUCCUCUAUGAGAUCCUGCUAGGGAAGGCCACCCUGUAUGCUGUGCUGGUCAGCGCCCUUGUGUUGAUGGCCAUGGUCAAGAGAAAGGAUUUCUGAAGGCAGCCCUGGAAGUGGAGUUAGGAGCUUCUAACCCGUCAUGGUUUCAAUACACAUUCUUCUUUUGCCAGCGCUUCUGAAGAGCUGCUCUCACCUGUCUGCAUCCCAAUAGAUAUCCCCCUAUGUGCAUGCACACCUGCACACUCACGGCUGAAAUCUCCCUAACCCAGGGGGACCUUAGCAUGCCUAAGUGACUAAACCAAUAAAAAUGUUCUGGUCUGGCCUGA